This 253-nucleotide ribosomal RNA is filed under the name uncultured bacterium. Its description in RNAcentral is "partial 16S ribosomal RNA". It matches the Rfam family "Bacterial small subunit ribosomal RNA", at positions 524 to 776 of the family's 1533-position model. The record is from RNAcentral.
UACGUAGGGGGCAAGCGUUGUCCGGAUUUAUUGGGCGUAAAGAGCGUGUAGGCGGCCAGGUAGGUCUGCUGUGAAAACUCGAGGCUUAACCUCGAGCUGUCGGCGGAAACCAUCAGGCUAGAGUCCGGAAGAGGAGAGUGGAAUUCCCGGUGUAGCGGUGAAAUGCGCAGAUAUCGGGAAGAACACCCGUGGCUAAGGCGGCUCUCUAGUACGGUACUGACGCUGAGACGCGAAAGCGUGGGGAGCGAACAGG